AGUGAACGCUGACGGUAGGCCUAACACAUGCAAGUCGAACUGCAGCACAGAGGAGCUUGCUCCUUGGGUGGCGAGUGGCGGACGGGUGAGGAAUACAUCGGAAUCUACUCUGUCGUGGGGGAUAACGUAGGGAAACUUACGCUAAUACCGCAUACGACCUACGGGUGAAAGCAGGGGAUCUUCGGACCUUGCGCGAUUGAAUGAGCCGAUGUCGGAUUAGCUAGUUGGCGGGGUAAAGGCCCACCAAGGCGACGAUCCGUAGCUGGUCUGAGAGGAUGAUCAGCCACACUGGAACUGAGACACGGUCCAGACUCCUACGGGGGGCAGCAGUGGGGAAUAUUGGACAAUGGGCGCAAGCCUGAUCCAGCCAUACCGCGUGGGUGAAGAAGGCCUUCGGGUUGUAAAGCCCUUUUGUUGGGAAAGAAAUCCAUCUGGUUAAUACCCGGGUGGGAUGACGGUACCCAAAGAAUAAGCACCGGCUAACUUCGUGCCAGCCGCCGCAGUAA
This 506-nucleotide ribosomal RNA is filed under the name uncultured bacterium. RNAcentral describes it as "partial 16S ribosomal RNA". It matches the Rfam family "Bacterial small subunit ribosomal RNA", at positions 29 to 523 of the family's 1533-position model. The record is from RNAcentral.